UUCUGAUGAACCUCCCUCUGCUCUCUCCCAUGGAGGAGCCCAAGCACACCAAACCAAUCUUUCCUCCGUGCCAGGAAAAACAAACUCAACCCAACUCUUCCUCCAUGAAGAACCACAACCUACCAAGCCAUGGAGGAACUGGUUCGGUCCUGGACUUCAUCUGGAUGUAGGACAUCCUUGGCAUGCGAUGGCUUGUCCUUCAGGGUUGUUUCGUGAAGACUAAACAGACAUUUCCCAUGGAAAGAAGUUACGGAGAUUGUGGGAAAAAUGGAAGAGCUGGACCCUCCCCGAGGUUGUGUGGGGAGUGGGCGCAGGGGAAGGUCCCCUCGAUCUCCUCUUGGUGCCACAGGUUUCAUGGAGACUUUGUCUUGUAGUCACUUGUGCUUUGGGGCACAUCCAUCAAAAAAAAGCUGAGGCCACGUGGUCCAAGACUAUGGAGAUACUGAGGCUUCAUGAAGGAGUUUGUGUCCCCGGCACCACAGUACAUGACUGUGUUGUAUUCACAGCCAGUUCCACUUGGGAAGUGAGUUGGUCUAAAUCAUCGUGAAGACACGACUGGCUUUAAGGCUGGUAUGUGGUUGGUGUCAGACAUCGACUGGGCUCACAGGACAGUGGCUGCAGCAGAGUGGCCGGUGGCGAUGGGGUGGCCAGUCCCUGCACUGGAGCUGCCCUAGGAGCAGUGCCGGUGCUGCACCGAGCUCUGCCCCUUCUGGGUGUGCUCCUUGGCUGGCUUCCGUGGUAUUUACUAUGAAUCUUCACCUAUUUCAUGGCUGAUAGGGCAAAACCCUGAAGAACAGUCAGUUGGAUGAGAAUGACUCACACAGAACAAAGUUGUUAUGAAUGGUCUCCCAAGCCGUACAGUUGCGCUGUCUCAGUCCGUACUGGUCACCAGCCCUGGGGUGAUGUGGAGGAGCUCUAGAGAAGUGUUUUAUGAUACAAGCAGCAAAUUUGUACCUUGUGUGCCUCUGAAAACCGCAAUCCCCUUCACCGUCAGCAUGAAUCGAGGACGCAGAAGACUGAGUACACAAAGCAGUUUCAGACACAGCAGACGGCAGUCAAGUCACAACCCAGCUCUUCCCUUAUUGACACUGGAGCAGGAGCAUCCCGUGAACCCCGCCGGGAUGCAGGAGCAUCCCGUGAACCCCGCCGGGAUGCAGGAGCAUCCCAUGAACCACGCCAGGAUGCAGGAGCUUUGAUUUGCUGGGGAUGAGCAGUUCCACGUUGCCAGUCCUGAUGUGUGAACAUCAUUUCUGCAGCUGGUUCCAGCCGUGGUAACAGUUGGUUCGUAUCUGAUGGGCCACUUAUUUGGAGGACGAGCAAACCAUAGGAAAUAUUUCCAGGGGAAAUAAAAGACAGUGUUCAUCUGCCUAGGCAUUGAUAUUGCUUCUUUCUUCUUUUUUAUCUAUAAACCAGACUUCUGGUAAGAUGAACUCUGAAGGAAGCAGAUUUAGUACUUACAGCUUAAAGAGUCUGAGGUCCCCAUUUUGUAUUUGAAAAUGAAAGACAACAUUUAUUUGUUCUUUAUCUUUGAGUUCUAAGCCUGUUUCCACACCAAAAAAAGUGCGGGAGAAGAAUAAGAGAUAAAAAUGUGUUUGAAAUACAAGCUAUUCUUUGAAGCUCUUACAAUAUUUUAAAGCUUUUCCCUACAGCUAUUUAUUCCAUGCACUUAAUGUCUGUUUUUUGCUCUGAUAUAUAUUGCAAUUAUUUUUCAUCUUUAAUUUGAUUUUCUUUUAAUAACAUUGUUCAGAACAAUAAGGGGUGACAAAGACGACUAGCAUGCAUCAGAUAAUCCCUAUCUGACCAAGAUGAGUCGUUUUAAUUACGUAUGUGUACAUAUUGUGCCCUAGAUCUUCUUAAAGGUUUUAUGGUUUUAGGCAAUACAAUGGGAAAAUAACUUGUCAAAGAUUCAGAGUGUUAGCUCAAUAGUCUGGCUUUUACACAAGGUAUGGAGGGAUAGUCGCUCAUUAAAGUGACUCGUUUUUGUUAUGAAUGAUGAAUAUUAUACGUAUUGUCUCUUUUCUCAUUUCUUCUUUUUUUUUCCCCAGCUACAUGAACAGUCGGUUUUGGGACAGUAUUUGAUUACCUUGUUUGCCAGCUUUGAUUUCAUUGCUGGGAAGUUUUCUCUGAGCAUCAGAUAUUACUUAGAUAUGUAAACACUGCUCUAACCAGACGGUUCUGUCUCUGGUAAAGGAAUGGGAAUGUAAUGGAGUUUUUCUGUGUUCCCUAUUAUAACUCUGUUAGACAUUACUUAUAUGGUGCCUAGCCAAGGCUAAUAUAUUUAUUUUAUUCCCUGGCAAUUCUAAAUUGCCUGGGGUAAAAAAAUAAAGCUUUGUUUAAAGGAAAAAAUGAUUAAAAAUUGUUGAUUCUGAGAGGAAAUUAAAAAGUGUUCAACUUGACCCCACAUCAGAUACUUCUUUUUAGUUGCUAAGUAAUUUACUGUUUUCUUUAACAUAGAAUAACAUCCAAAAUGAAAUAUUUGACAAAAGUAUUUUGAUGAGAAAUGGUACUUAAGCAGUAAAAAAUGAAGACAACUUGUUGAAGUUGCUGGAUAGUUGUGAAGUGUUUAGAUCGCCCUGAAUUUGUGUUUGUUUUCAAAAGGAGAAGUUUCUUAACCCGCUUUCCUCCAGCUCAAGGGCAGCCCCCACCACCCGCGUGCCCUGGCGUUUACAUUCCGACGGACUCCUACAGGUUUACGUUCUUAAGAGGAGAAAUUUAUCCUUGAUGCCCGAACUCCCUAAAAUGUAAUAAAUAGUGACCCCUAAAAGCAGAGCUGUUGGGUGUUGCAACAACCUGCUGUGGCUGUACCCAGGGAGGGCCUGGAGAUAAUAAACAAUAAUAAACUGGUUAGAAACAAUUAGCUAUGUCAUCAGUGUUAUCUGGAUAAUUAACAGUCAGCUCUAUUAUCUGUGCUAUGUGUGUUGGUAACUGUGAAGAUAACCACCAGAAGUGUUGUAUUUGCUUAUGGUGAGAACAAACUAGAGAUUAUCUGCAUUUUACCCAAAAUUAAACUGAUCCAUUUUCAUUUACUGUGUUGCCAAAACAGAGAAUAUAUCGCUUAUCUAGUUAGUUCAGUGGAAUCCUUAGCUCCUAUAUAAGCAUUGUUAUGCUGCAAUUUCUUGCUACAUAUGCUACAUAUUUUAGCCUAGAUGAUGACCUUCAAAAGGAAUGAAUCCUGUUUUCUUUGAGUGUUUGAAUCCUUUCUUUGCAUUUCUUUUUAAAACCACUUUUAUUAUUUAAAGCCAACUUCUGUGUGGCUUAAUACGAGAUUCUCAAUCAGUUUCAUUUUAUAUCUGUGAUAUAAAUCUUUGAUCUUUAUUUUAGUUUUGUCUGCAAUGUAGCCACUAAGGAAAGUACUAAGGAUGUCUCUGAUUUUCUGUCAUUAAGACUGGAAUGAGGAUUUUCAUCCAAUUCAACAUGAGGUAACGCUUCUCCAGUCUACUUCUCACAUUUUAAGAAAAAAAUUAACAAAAUGCCACUACAGGGUUUUUUUUUAAUUCUUUUUUGGUGCUGUAAAUUGCAUUUUGAUGAUUCUCCGCUCCUCCCGCGCUGCCAGGCAGCAUCCCUUGUUGCUUCUAGCAAGAAUUGUCAUGGUGAUGCAUUCUGUUGACCACAUUUUGGAACACAGAUUGUUUCUAAUUUUGUUUCUUUAAUUUACUCUGGGUACUGUAAUAUCUCUGUUUCUUUCUCUCACUCUCUGUUUUUUUUUUGAAAUUUUAUCACGACAAACUAUAUAUAUAUAUGUACAUAUAUAUAUAUAUAUGUAAUAGGAUCUGCCCUCUCACCUUCCCAUAUGCAAACGUGCUGGGUGGUAUUUUCUUUCUGGCUUGUCCCUACAUGCGGAUCGCCGCGUUCUUGGCAUGGCCGGUUUGGCGGUGCCGGCGCUGCCCUCUCCGUGUACCGGCACUGGCUGCCAAACGCGCAUCUCGUCCCCUGUUCCCGCGAGCAUCCCGAGUGCUCUUCUGGCAGGAGGGAGCUGUUCUGCAGCCGCCAUCGAGACGUGCUUCAGAUCUUGAAUUGCUCUCUGUGAACGCACAAGAAGAAUGGGAAAACCCAACAGGGCAUCGAGAGUGGGGCUCGUUACCGACACUCAUUCCAUGGCUAAUUGUGCCUCCCCGGGAGAGGCCAAGCAGUGGCCUGAAGAGCACUCAUCCCUCAGAAAGGAUCGCGAGCUUUUAGCAGAGCUAACAGGCUUCAUGGAGAAAUUAAAUUUGGCAGUGAGAGCGCAGUACUUAGGUUAGUCUCAAGUAGUCUUGAGCUAUAAAAACGUUUCUGUGGGAGUUCUUGGCUGAGUGGAAAGGCUGAGAGAAGAGUCCAGCAGCUUGCAGGGUGGAGUGAUGCUGCUUUAUGCGUUUCAUGGUUGUGUUGAUGGUUUUAAGAGGAAGGGUUGGCCUAAAUUUCUGUCUGAGCAUUUCUUGUGCUUUUGUGCAAGGCCCAGAGGAAGGUUUUCCUCUGGUCCUGGUCCAUUUGGAGCCGGUGAGGCAGCCUGGGAUCUCCUGCCAUUCCCAUGUGUGAUGUAUAGACAAAGUUGUAAAUGCAAAGUGAAACUGGGGAGACUGGGUGCACUGGGAGUUAGACAAGCACAGCUCCUGUUGAUACUGAACAUGUUUUACUUUUUAGAAGUAAUUAAGUAGGUUUUGGGUCAAAGAGUGAGAAGGACAAUUUCUGUAGGGCCUGGCAGGUCAAGGUUUCUGUCUUGAAGACCGUACACCUGAGCCUGUGCACGGAUGGCUGGCUAACUGCUAACACACAGUGCAGCCACCUCGGGGGAGAGGUGGAGACGAUUGUCCUCUGGACACUUUGCAAUUGUCCCCUGGAUGCUUUGCAGCUUUGGAAGUGGGAGAUCAGGAUGUAAAAUGCUGCAGCAAAACAGGCAGAGGAGGAGAAAUCCUUUGAACCCAAGCCUCUGCCAUCUCCAGACAGUCUCUUAACUCCAAAAUAUGGAGAUAUAUAUCUAUACAUAUCUAUAUAUAGAGAGAGAUAUUUAUUUUUUUUAAAGGAAAAGUGAGUUUUAUCAUCCAUGCUUCAGGAAAGAGCUCCCAGCUGUGACCAUGGAGGGCAGUGGGGUGGGCUGGGGUGACACUUGUGUACCCAGAGGUGUGGGCACAGCCCUGGGGAUGGUGACCUGGGAAAUGAGCCCCUGGAGCAGGUUCCCAUGGGCU
This is a long non-coding RNA of Columba livia (rock pigeon), 5159 nucleotides long. RefSeq lists it as uncharacterized. The transcript is spliced from 7 exons. The record is from RefSeq and is a predicted model, not a curated record. Lineage: Eukaryota; Metazoa; Chordata; Aves; Columbiformes; Columbidae.